AAGUCGUAACAAGGUUUCCGUAGGUGAACCUGCGGAAGGAUCAUUAAUAAAUUAACUCAUCGUUAUGGGUUUCUUUAACUCAUAUCAACCUUGUGUGCACCUAAAAUUGUACCUGGCAGUUCUUAGCUGUUUUUCGACUCAAGAUUUUCUUAAGGCUUCAGGUUAAGUUGGUUAACGAGUAUUAGCCUCUCGGGGUUAAGAAAGAUCUCUAACACCUGGCUUUAAGAUCUCUUAGGUCUUAGACAGUUUCCUGCCAAACGUUAAACCUUAGAAAUUUUUUCAGCCUAUUACUUAAGUUUUCUUAAUAAAGCUUAAUUAAUAACAACUUUUGGCAACGGAUCUCUUGGCUCUC
This 352-nucleotide unclassified non-coding RNA is filed under the name fungal sp. RNAcentral describes it as "partial internal transcribed spacer region". The stretch from base 1 to 46 matches the Rfam family "Eukaryotic small subunit ribosomal RNA", at positions 1786 to 1831 of the family's 1831-position model. The record is from RNAcentral. Lineage: Eukaryota; Fungi.